AUGACCGCAGAAGGGAUCACCGGGGCGCCUGCGGCUCAAGCGCGGGCCCGCCUUCCUGUGCUGCGCCAGCUUCUCCAGCCCCACCCAGCAGCGGGACCUCUCCGGGAGCUGGAAGAGGGCACAGGGACCCAGGGGCGUGUGCGGCACCGCCAGGUGGGGGAGGGGAAGAUGGGCGUUGAGACGAGGAGAAACCCCUGGAUGGAGAGAGAGAGAGAGAGAGAGAGAGAGAGUCCACCGUGCGGCUCCUGGCUCCGCGGGCCGGCGACGUCCAGGCCAGCGGGAGCGCCCGGCGGGGUCGCGGGCUGCUGGAGCGCGGGGGGCCCUGACCGCAGGCCCCGCCUCCGACCUCGGGACCCGGUGGCAGCGCGCAAAGCCGCCGGGGCGCUCGGGUCGGCCCGGACGUCCGCGGCUCCGCCUGGUACCGCCCACAGGCUCGGGGCCUGGCGGCCGCAGGGUCCACACUCUCCCACCGGCCGGGAGAACUGGGUCCAGCGCAAGUGCUUCCGUCUUUCGGGGCGCCGGGCAUGUGGGUUGAGUCCGGACGAUGCCCUGGAUCAUCCCCAGACCAUCCCAGCAGGAUCCGCUCCCGGGGCCCACCUCCCCCGACGGGGCCCGCGCUGGGCAGGCGGCCGUGCAUCCUCGGCUGGCCUCCCGGGUCCAGCGUCCUUGAGCGGUAGGCAGGGCUUCCGGCCAGAGUGGACGCGGCCGUCCGCCCCGAGGCCCCUGGGCUGGGGGCGCCCCUCGCGCUGGGAGGGGGGGCGCGGGAGGUCGCCGCCGGCGAAGCUGACACCCAGGCACUGCUGCUUGGGAGAAAGGCCGGCUGGACGCGCGAUUUUCCUGUAUUUCCUGAGGUUCCUUUUUCUGGGUCGUGCUAAGGGGAGCUGGGGGCACCAGGAUCCUGUCUUAAGGUUUUCAACCCGCCUAAACCUGCCAGAAAACAGAAUCGGGGCCAUAGAAGUGGGUUCCAGGGGAAAGAUGUUCUCGACGCUUUCAAAGAACUUCUAUUUUCUGUCUCCACACCCUCGCCUUCAGAAAAUGGGCGGGAAAAGGCCAGAGGACACCUGUGGACCAAGUUUCCUGGGGCGCUAA
RNAcentral lists this long non-coding RNA (1089 nucleotides) under Canis lupus familiaris (dog). RNAcentral's name for it is "lncRNA (ENSCAFG00030022315.1)". Lineage: Eukaryota; Metazoa; Chordata; Mammalia; Carnivora; Canidae. The record is from RNAcentral.